Debaryomyces hansenii is the source of this 73-nucleotide non-coding RNA. The record is from Rfam. NCBI's taxonomy places the organism in Eukaryota, Fungi, Ascomycota, Pichiomycetes, Serinales, Debaryomycetaceae.
GUCCUAGUAGCUUAAUUGGUAAAGCCUUAUAAUGUCGCUAUAAGAAAUGACGGUUCGAUCCCGUUCUAGGUCG